GCGCGCAUUGGGCGCCACGGUCCUGCGCGGCCGGUCUUGCCUGUCCUCCCGCUCCAGCUGCUCGCGCUGUGCACCCGUCCACGCAGCGCCUGGGGUCCUCGACGCAGAUGCCAAGUGGGGACCGCUGGACUAGGUGGACAAGGAGAGAGCUGGAGGCAGAGCACCAAGUACCCUCAGCCUGUCACCCACAGGGGCCCCAGUGCCACCUGCAAGACUCAGCUCGUGCGUGGCUGGCGUCCGGCCGCCCCCCGCCCUUCCACCUGCCCCACCCCCAUCCCUUCUCUUCUGUGUCAUUGCAAGGCAUCUGCAGGCCCAAGUGCAGAGUUGAUCUUUUUGGCAAAGAUGGCCAGUAACCUAGGCAACUAUUAUCCUGCACCCUGUGGAUCAGAUGUGUAUCUCCAGCCACGCUGGUGGGAAACUAAGACUGUAUUAUCCAGGGAUGUUUAGGCCUGCAUUCCUCGAUGGGAAUGCAGGCCUAGGAGAGCCGGAGGUUCGUCUGCAGUUCCCUGGAUUAAAUCCUACGUGCCUGGAAAUGUACCUGGACACAGCCCUGGGGCUGCUGACUGCCAUCCCGUCAUGCCGUGUACACAACUGGACACAGUGACACCAGCUCAUCCCUCCUGCCAUCCCAGGACAGACCUUCUUCUUUCUGAGAGCUUUUAGGAAUCUGGUACAUAAUACGCUGGACAGGAGACGUACCUAUUCCUGCAAAAGUGGAGACUCAACCACUGCCUCCCUUCACGUUCAUCAGAAACAAAGGAACACAAUUUGAGUUAAGGAUGAACUUCAGGUUUAGAAGUGUGUGCUUUCCUUUCGACAUGGAGCUAGAUGAAUUCAUUAUCCCUGGUGCCUUCUACUCCACAAUGGGGUAUUUCAUCUCCAUCCACUUCCUGCCGGGGAACGAAUAUGCCAUCGCCUUCUACAAGGGCAUGACGGCCUAUGUGUUCUACGAGAUGAUGGAGCUCAUAGGGACACCAUCCCAGGUUGGAUGAGUAUCUUUGUGGAGCAGGGGACAAUCUCUGAUGGGCCAGGCUGAGACACAAGGUCCUCCCCAGGAGGGGUUGGAGGGCUGUUUCUGGUGGAGGUUUUUCACGGAUAUGUGAAUCCUUCUCAGUUUGCUUUUCCAGGUGUUACACUCAUGGCUGUCCUUUGGGGAUGGCAGAGGGAGGAGUACAGGUCAGGGUGUCCCUAAGUCCAGGAUUUGCCUGUGUAGAAAACUGUACAUCUGUCCUCCACUCUCCAGGAUCAGAGUGGGUGGGAACUACUUCCUGUGGAGCCUUCAAAGAAGACAGCCACCUGGGGGGCUGUUGCCUUCAUGAGAAUUCACUCCAGGCCCAUGACUCAUGCCCCGAACAAAAGACAAACACAAUUCCUGCUUGAAGGCUCCCAGCUGUCUGGCUCCUUCUCAGGUUUGGGUUGGGAAGGCUCACAUCUUAGAUGUUCCUGGGACAGCAGGCUUGAAUCCUCUCAGUUCCCUGGAGGCCCAGGUGGAAAUGGCAGUGUCUGGCCAAGUGGGAGGACAACCCUCUGGAACCCUCCAACCCUAAGUGGCUUGGGGACUCUGCCUCAAAACCAUCACUGAAAACCAACUGGCCUCCAGGCCGCACCUUGAAUGAAAACCCAGAUGCACUGAGGACCUUUGAGGAGUAUGUGGAGUGGAAAGGGAGGAACAAAAGCGAGAUCAUCAACCCUCCUGAUACUGAGUCCUGUGAAUACCACAGAGAGGUGUAAGGAGAGAAAGCUGCAGAGACUUCCCAGGAAGGAGGAUUUGUGGACCUUGCUGCUCUCCUCCACCUGAAGCAAAACUCUCCCUGCAAGAGCCCAGAACCCACACCUUCUCAAGCCUCUGCCAUCAAUAAAGCUGAGUGAUGUCCCUUGGGCAUGUGCAUGACGUGGGAUUGAAUAUGCCUGGGCUUUGUCUUACCCAGGCAUGAAAAGUAGCUCAUCUGUGACCAUGGUGAUCAUGAAAGAGGGACUCUGUAUCACACUCAUAGCUCCCUGCACACACACAGGUGGCUUCCAUGGGGCAAAGGGAGAGGGCAUGGGGCUUAAUCUGACUGGUGUUUGUGAGGGGAGAAAAGGAGAGAGAGGGUCACAGCAUGGCAGCCUUAUUCUGAAACAUGGGCAGAAGCUUCGUUGUCCCCACAAUUCUUGAGUUUUGCAUGGCAUUAAAACCAGAACCAUGUAAAUGAUUCCAAACGCUGUCUCUAGCUUGAGCAUUAGCCAGGCCUCAUUGGAUCAUGGGUGUAGCAUUUCUGAGUGCCUAGAUUGCUGAGCACUAUGAAAGGAAUCCCAGAAAACCAAUUCUCUAUGUGGCUUAUUUGGAGCAGGGUGCCCUAGGACUUGUCAAAGCAAAGUCUUUCACUUUUGCACCUUUUAGCCUGGAAAGGGUUGGGUCUUGCUGAUUCCUGGGAUGCCCUCAAGGCAUCUUUACUAUUGUUCUAAUGCAAAAUUCUUGGCUUCUUUUUUAAUGCUAAUCUUUUCAACAACCUUAUUCUCCUCUGCUCCAACUUUAUAGGUUUUUCCUUUGUGGCAAAAAUGAAAACAUUUUAAAUGGCCCUUCUGCUCUUGGUUUGCAGUAUAAACCUGGCUAAAAACUGUCAGCAGUGACAAUACCAUAGAUUGAAAUUUGAGCUGUCUUAAAAUCUCUGCCACCAGAUAAAUUACUUUGCCACCCUUAAUCUUAGUCUCCUGCAAAGUCUUAGAACAUGAACAAAAUAUAAACACACGGACAUGGCAAGAGGGUGGGGAUUUAGGUCUAACCAAUAACAUUGUGCCAGUGGCCUCCAAAAUGCUCAUUCCAAACUCAUUACACAAAAUGUAUUUAGUCCAUCUCUAAGUGUUGCCAAACUUUUACUUAUAGUUCUAGCAUUACUGAAAAGUCCACCCUAUAGUCUCCUCUGUAACUCAAAGUAAAUGUAUAAUCAUGAGCCCAGGUGAAAAUAAAAAACAGUUAAAUACUUCCAGUAUACAAUGGCAGAGUAAACAUUCCCAUUUCAGAAGAAAGCAAUAAGUGAAUAGAAGGGAAUUGGAUCAAAGCAAUACUGAAACUCAGAAGGGCAAAUUGUAAAUCCAGUAGCUUUCUGUCCAGCAUGCAGGGCAGAUUUUAGUGAGAUAUGAACUCCAAAGGGGAUUUAGGCAGCUCUGUUCCUACUAGCCUUACUAGCUGCAGCCCACGUGCCCUCUCUCGGAUUGGCUCCAUUCACUAGCUGUGGCUUCCUUCAGCAGAUGUUCCAACUUCCUAGCUUAUCCACAGAUCCCUCUACUCUCAGAGCUGCAAGCUUCACCAUUUCAGGGGGUCCUAGCAGGGACUGUGACCCUUUUACACAUUUUUGCCUGGUCUCCCAGGCCUUAUUUUGAUGUUUUACUCAAUCACAAGAGAUUAUAGAGAAUUGCCACCACUCAGAGCCAAAUUUGAGUCCUUUAUUGCCAGUGUGGCAAUUUGAGCGUGUCUCGAGCUUGAACACUCUACAUGAGGAAAAGUGGCUUGCAGGGUUCUUUUAAUCAGCUCUUUUAGUUGGGGAGGGCUCAGGGAGAUGGGGAGACCAAGUGAAAUUUUACAGAAGCAGAACUUUGCUAGGUUAGUGAAGAGUCAGGGGAAGUUUCACACAGUUUAGUUGAAACAAAAUAUCACACAGGUGCGGAGUAUUCUGUUUACAAGGUCAUAAAGAUAACAUAUAGCUGCAGACUGCUCUACCAAAUGGGGAGGUCAUAAAGAUAACAUAUAGCUGCAGAUUGCUCUAUCAAACAGGAUUCUCCAGUCUGUCAUGCAUUAACUGAGGGGAUUCCCAAAGGGGAAAGGGGGAGAGGACCACCCAGAAUCACUUGACUUUACAUAAAUGGAGUCAGGUUGGCUAUCACACUGAAACAUGGGUGGAAGCCUCUAUGAUAUUAUAACUUGCAUUGUGUAUGCUUGAAAAAUAAGAAGCACAUGGACGAUGCCAAAGUUUCACACCAGCUCAAGCAGCAGUCUGCCCCUUUGGACCACGCUGCAAUGGCCUCUGAGUGCUUGCAUGCUUGAGCUUGGGGAAACACUUCCCUAGUGGCCCUGAAUAAGCAGGGCAUCUCUUCUGGAAGAAAGUCUCUCAAAGGAGUUUACUCUUUUACACCCUUGAGCCUGGGAUGGAUGGGGUCUGACCAUUUCGUUACAUGUCUUCAAGUUAUCAUUGAUUGUACUGAUGCAAAGUGCAUGGCUUCUUUUUAAUGCUAAUCUUUUCAGCUACAAUAAUCUCUUUUGCCCUAACUUUGCAGUCUCUUCCUUUCUGGAAAAACUGCAAACUUCGUAUCUUUCAGAUUUAGUGUUUGCUCUUGAUUCUCACUGUAGAUUUUUAUAAAAGCAGCCAACAGUACCCAUGUUGUAGUUUGAAUGUUGGGCUGCUGUGAAAUUUCCUCUGGUAGAUUAAUUAGUCCUUUACAUUCAGUCUCACACAAAGACUUAGGGGAUGGUCAAAACAAAGAGAAAUUCUUCGAUGGAACGUAACAUGCAUGGCCUCUAGUUCAGUUUUCAACAGAGUCCUCACUCCCAACUGAAAUUUUGUGAGGCUGGCCUUUACUGUCAACAUUCUUAUCAUCAUUCUGGCUUUCUGAGCUGUGGCCAGAAUCACCCCUCAAGAUCUACUUACCACAAUCUAGUUAUUCUCUAGCCUGAUUUUCCUAAACUCUCCUGCAACAAGUUCUAAAGGCUACUAAAGCACAUGAUCAAGUAGUAAUAGCAACAGUCUCACUCCAAUAUUAUGUAUUAGCCACUUUCCUGUUGCUGGGACAAAAUGCUCAAAACCCAGAACCUAAAGGAAGAGAGAUUUAUUUAGCUUAUGGUUUCUAGUUGGUUCAGUCCAUGGAUGACUGACCCCAAGGCAGAAAUGGCAUAGUGGAAGGGCAUGACCAAGGAAAGCUGCUCAACUGAUGACCACUGGGAAACAGAGAUGGAAAGGAGGAGCUGGAGAUAAGAAUGAGUUCUUCAAGGUCUAUACCUAGUGAGCUGCCCCUUUAAUCAGGCCUUACCUCUGAACAUGAGACUUUUGGCGAUGUUUUAGAUCUAAAUUUAAACAGCCACCUGGGUCUUUGUCUCAGGCAUUCUGUUCAUUACUGCAGCACCAGGUCCCACCUUAGAUUGGCUAGAUUUACAUCUAGGUAAAUUUUUUAGAUGAUAUUGUGGUUUUAAUUUUACAGUUGAGUUUUAGAAUGUAGACAUGCAAUCGAUGUUUUGUACAUUUAUCUUCUAUCUGGCUACCUUGCUGAACCCACUUGUCAGUUCUGUUUUGUUGUAAGCCACUGGGAAAGGAAGGAUGAGAAGACCCAGGAGAUCAGACUUCUCAAACUUGGAAUCUGCUGCUGAGGCAGCUGGCUGGGAACAGGUACCAAGGAUGCUACACCCUGAGAAUUUCCUUUAAGUGUUGAAUAAGAUAUUUUGAGUGGGGCUGGGGAUUUAGCUCAGUGGUUCCGCUGCCUACCUCGCAAGCGCAAGGACCCGAGUUUGAUCCCUGGUACAAAAAAAAAAAAAGAUAUUUUGAGUGAUUGGUCUUCAUUUAACCCCUUAGUAAAUGAGAUUUUGGAGUAUUUGUGCUGACUCUUGCCAACCACUGGUGUUGUAGAAGAGUUUCUUUUUCCUUGCAUCUUUGUCAGCAUUUACUGUGUUUUAUACUCUUCAUGACAGCCAACUCUGACUAGGUUGAGAUGGAAUCUCAAAGUAGUUUGUUUUGUUUUCUGUUUGAUUUUUUGAGACAGAGUCUCUCUAUGUAGCUCAGGCUGGGCUUGAACUCACUAUGUAUUAUGGGCUGGCCUCAAACUCCCAGUGAUCCUCCUGCCUCAGGCUCCCAACUGUUGGGAUUACAGGCAUGUGCCGUCAUGCCUGGCUCUCAGUGUAGUUUUGAUUUGUGUCUUAGUCGCUUCCUUGAGGUUGAAACACAAUACCUGACACUCACAAGUUAAAGGAGGAAAGGUUUAUUUUGGCUUAUAGUUUGUAGAGGUUUCAGUCUAUAGUUGGCUGGUUGCAAGGCAGGACAGCACGACAGAGGGACAUGGCAGAGGAGAAAUGGUCUGUGGCAUAGCAGUGGGGAAGCAGGGAGAGAUGAAGGGAGGAGGAAAGGAGACUGCUCCUUCCAUCCUACACCCUUAGUGAUCCACCACUUCCCACCUCCCAACAUCAUACUCAGCUGUAAACUUAUCAUGGACUAAUCCAUUGAUGAGUACCAUGCCCCCAUAAUCCAAUCACCUCCCUAAAUCCCUACCUGAGUUCAUGAAGCUUUCAGGGACAGCUAGAUAGAAAUCAUAACAAUUUGCAUUUCCAUAAUGGCUAAAGAUGUUAAGCAUUUUUUUUCAUAUACUUAUUGGCCUCUUGUAGUUUUCUUUUGAGAAAUAUCUUCUCAAUUCAUUUGCUCAUUUAUUGAUAGGAGGGGCUAUUGAUUUGGGGGGGUUAAGUUUAUUGAGUUCUUUAUGUAUUCUAGAGAUCAGUCCUCUGGCAGAAGAGUAGCUGGCAAAGAUUUUCUCCCAUUCUGUAGGUUGUCUCUUCACUCUUUGUUUCCUUUGCUGGGCAAAAAAUUUUUAAAUUUGAUGUAGUCCCAUUUGUUGAUUCUUACUAUUAUUUUCUGAGCUAUUGGAGUCUUAUUUAGGAAGUCUUUGCCUAUACCUGCGGUUUCAAGUGUUUUCCCUAUAUUUUCUUUAACAAUUUCAGAGUUUCAGGUCUUUGAUCCAUUUGGAUCUGAUUUUUGUGCAGGGUGAAACAGAGAUCUAAUUUCAGUCUUCUACACAUGGAUAUCCAAUUUUUCUGGCACCAUUUGUUUAAGAGGCUGACUUCUCCACUGCAUGUUUUUGGGUCCUUUAUCAAGAAUCAGAUGGCUGUAGUUGUGUAGGUAUGAUUUUGUGUUUUCUAUUCCAUUCCGUUGACAUAUGUGGCUAUUUUUGUGCCAUGACCAUACUGUUUUUGUUACUAUGGCUUUGUAGCAUAAUUUGAAAUUGAGUGUUGUGAUGCCUGCAGGCUUAGUCUUUUGCUUGGGAUUUCUUUGAUUAUUCUUGGUCUUUUGUAUUUCUAUAUGAAUUUAGGAUUUUUUUUAGUUCUGUGAAGAAUGUCAUUAGAAUUUUGGUGGGUUUUGAUUGAACCUCUAGAUUGCUCUUGAUAGUAUGGCCACCUUAACAAUAAUAAUUCUGCUGAACCAUGGAAAAGAGAGGUCUUUCCAUCUUGUAGUGUCUUCUUUGAUGUCCUCUUUUUCUUUUCUUUUUUCUUCAGUGCUCAGUAAUUUUCAUUUUAGAGUUCUUUAACCACCCUGGUUAGGUUGAUUACUAGGUGUUUUAAUGUUUCUUGAAGCUAUUGAAUUGUUUUUCUUAUUUCUUUUUCAGCUAGUUCAUUAUUGUGUAUAGAAAAGCUGUUGACUAUUUAACAUUGAUUUUUGUGCCCCACCCUUUUCUCUUUGUUGGGGGUUGAUAGGUAAGUCCACGCCCUGACACUGUCUGACACCAGGGGAGAUGUUGUCCUUCUGGCCAAGACUAUUGCAGUAUCUUUCCAAUUGGUUUAUCGGACUCUGUGCCCCCUAUCUGUCCUUCGAAUGACCCUAUAAAAAUACAAGACACACCCUGACUCUGUCAAAACCUUUCAGGGUCUUUCCAUUGCACUCAGAAUAAAAGCUAAAGUCCUCAUGCUGCCCACAUUCCACCACAGUUGAUCCUGGCCAGUCUUUGACUGGUCUUCCCCAGCACCAUCAGCUCCAGGUACUCCACAUUUUCAUCUGGUCCUGGCCCAUGCCAGCACCCUCUCCCCACUCCAGGCCUGUCCUGUAUGUUCCUCCCUCCUGCCCUCCUCUGUGAACUGACUUAUUCAUGGAUCAUUUCUCCCACUGUCUUCUAUUCUAUGUUCUAAUGUUACCUUGGUGAGGCUGACUUGAACCAUUCCAUUUAAAAUACAAACACUUCCUCUCCAUAGUCACUGGCUAACCUUUUCCAUUUGCUUUUUCCCCAUUGUACAUAUGACCUUUAAAAUAAUGUGUAAUUAUAUGAAUCAGCAUCCAAUCCAGAGAUAGAACACAGUGGACUAAAUGGGUAAGUUUAUAUAACGAACAAUGAAAAAUACUAGUGUAAAGGGAAUAGUUGUGGUUUGCUGGGAAAAAAGUCAAGGAAGAAAUAAAUUGAGGUGUUUCCUUCUACAAGUCUGGGUUCAGACCCGGUGAGAGAAGCUAUGGUCUUACUCAGGAAUAUUGAGGAAUUUUGUGGGUUUCCCAGGGUCAAGCUGGUCAUGGCCAGAGCAGAGGUGGGUAGGUAGGGAAAGGCAGGCUGGACCAGGCAGCAGGAAACUUUUCUUUCUUCCCACAGACAGAUGUGCUGUGGCUAAGAAGCCUGCAAGAUACCCUGGGAAUCCCCUUUGGUGGUCCCACUGAAUGUCCAUAGAAGCUAUCCAUGGGGCCUCCUGAGUCCUGUAUUACAAGCGUCCCAGAUGUUCCCUACUUGUGCCAUUGCAUUUCAGAUGGCAGGAGGAAGAAAAGAAAGAACUGAAAGCAUCCUGGAACUGAGAAGGAAGGUUCAUCUUCCAAAACCUUUACUAAUAAGCUUAGAUUUUGCCAGAUAUAAAAGAGAAAUGCCUACUGAGUGCAGUAGUAUUAUCAGUGAGCAGGCAAAAAGGUGUGUCUGGGGCUGGAGACAAGAAAUUCAUCACAGACACCAUCAUUCACUCAUCUGUUUUGUUUAUUUUUGACCCUCACCCAAGGACAGCAGUGCAUUUGAUGCAUUCCUUAUACCUAGAAGAAUACUUGUUGUAUAGAAAAUGUGUAAAAACCACCAAGCACAUGAAUAAAUUUGUUUUAUCCCUUUAAAGCUGCACGUAUUAUGUCAUCUCACGGACAUAUAAAGUUUUGUUGAUCUAUUGUUAUUUUGAUGAAUUUUUGAGGUAUUUCCAAGAUUUGUAGGGAAAGCAAACUUAUCAUCAGACACAUCUACUUGUGCAUACAUGGGACCGUCCCUGUUGGUAGAAUGCUUCUGAGUAGAGUUCCUAAGUCAUAGACUACAUGGAUUUAAAACAAAAACAAAAACAAAACAAACAAACAAACAAAAAUAUAUAUUUAUGCUCAUUGUAACUUUUAAGUUAAUCUUUUUAUUUAAGAUAUUUGUAGAUUCACAUGCUGUAUAAGAAAUAAUACAGAAAUCACACGUCCUCUUUUCUCCAUUUGCCCAAAUGAUCUUUCAAAUCUGUAAACAAUAUCAGACUAGAAAAUUGGCAUUGAUGUUACCAAGAUACAAAUCAUUAACUUGGAUUCCUCUUGUACCCUUCGAAGCCACGCCUCAUUCCUUCCCACCACACCUACACUUCUGGAAAGUGCUGGUUUGCACUCCUUUAAUGUAAUGUGGUCCUUUAAGAAUGUUGUAAAAAAGGUUUAAUAUAGUACAUCAAAUUGUGGAUUUCACUUUUUUCCCUUAUAGUAUAAUUCUCUGGAGAUUACUCUGGAUCAUUAUGUUCAUUAAUAGUGUAUAUCUUUUCACUGCUGAGUAGUGUUGCUUUAUCUGGAUGGACCACUCUUUGUUAACUGUUCACCUGUUGAAGCACAUGGUGUGUGUAGUGACAUCUUUGAGGUUUUUAUUGCAUUCCACUAAUGACUAAUGAUGCUGAACAUAUUUUCCUGUUCUUGAUAUCUGUAUAUCCUCUUGGUGAUUAAUAUGCCCUUUAUGGCUUUUGUCCAUUUUCUAAUUGCCUUUUGUUGUUUGCUUUGUGUUCUUUGUGGUUUUGGGGAUCCGACCAGGACCUGGUGCAUUCCAGACCAGUGGUGAGCCACUGAGGUAUAGCCUCACCCCAGCCAUUUUCAAACUGUUUUUUAACUAUUGUGGUACAGAAGGACGUGUAAAGACUAGAAACUAGUGCUGUAUUAGAUAAGCAGCUGGCACAUCUUUUCUCUCAUUCUUGAGCUUGCUUAUCAUUCACAUAAGAGGAUCUCUUACAGAGAAAAAGGUUUCAACUUUGAUGACAAUGUUGUCAAUUUUUCCUUGCAUGGAUCAUGCUUUUAACAGUAAAUCUAAAAACUCUUGACAUAGCUCCAUAUUCCACAGAUUUUCUGUUAGCUUAUUUGUUUUUAUAGAUUUUAGAGUAUUAUGUUUUAUGGUAAAGCCUGUGAUCCCUAAGGUGUAUGUUAGUUAUCUUUCUGUAAUGUGAUAAGUAUUUGAGAUAAAUAAUUUGUAAGGAGGAAGCAUAUUUUGGCUCACAGUUUCAGAGGUUUCAGUCUAUGCUCACAUAAUCCUGUGGCAGCAGAGAUCAUGGCAGGAGCCUAUGGUGGAAGAGGUUGCUCGCCUCUUGGCUUCCAAGAAGCAAGGGGAGAGAGCAAGAGGGAGGAAGAGGCUGGGGUCUCCAUAUUCCCAUUCUGGGGUGUGCCCUCAGUGACUUUACUUACCUUUCGCUUACCUGCUAAAGGUUCAGCCCAUCUUUCAAUAGUGCCAGAAGCUGGGGACCAAACCUUCAACAUACUCCCCUUUGGGGCACACUUAAGAUUUGAACCAUGACUAGGCUUGAGGCUUAGGUUAUAGGUCCUUGUAGUUCUUCUGUCUCUAUGGAUAUAUAUAAUCUCUCAACAUCGUUUGUUGGAAAGGCUGUUUUUCCUUCACUGAAUUGUUUUUGCAUCUUUGUAAAAAGCCACCUGGGCCACUUUGUGUAGGUCUGUUUCAGGGCUCGCAAAUCUGUCUGUCCUCUUGUUCUAUGAAUCUGUCCAUCUGUCAUUAUCACAAAUAUCAAUUACUGCAGAAAUAUAAGGAUUGAAAUUGGGUAGCCUCAUUGACCCACUUAAUUUAUUCAAAAAUUUUUUAGAAAUUCUAGCUCCUUUGAUUUUUUCGUAUGAAUUUUAAAAUUAUCUUGCCUACAUCUACAAAAAUUCCUUUGGGGAAUUUGAUAGAAAUCGUUUUAAAUUUUUCAUUGUUUGGGAGAAACAUCUUUAUUAUAUCAAAUCUUUGAAUCCAUAAAUACAGUAUGUAUCCACAUUUAUUUACUCUUUUAUUUUAUCAACAUUGUGUAAUUUUCAGCAUACAUUUCUUUUUUUUUUCUAGUACCUGGGGUCGAAUUCAGGACCUUGCGCUUGCCAGGCAGGCGCAGUGCCACUGAGCUACAACCCCCAGCAUACAUUUCUGCACAUGAUCUCUUAGAUUUGCAUCUAGAUAUCUAAUUUUUAAUGAUUCUAACUGAUGUUUUUCAUUUUAGUGAAAUACUUGAACAUGUGUUCCACUUAUGCCAAACUUGCAGCGGUAGCUGUAUUUUUCAUCAUGUUAAUAGUUUUUUCUCUCAUUUAUUCUUUGAAUAAAAAGACUUAAAUUAUUAAAUCAGUUUGGGACAUUAUUAAAUGUAUUUUGCAGCAUUGGUUUAUAUUAAUAUAAGAGCAAGUAUAGCAUUGUGUAGCGGGAAGCCUAUGGCUUAAGAAGGAAGUCCAAGCUCAGAGCUACAGUGUGUCACCCCAUUCACUUUGAGCACUGCAGUUUUCCCUACUCUUUAUUUUCCUGCUGCGACAGUUUGCUAACAUUUUAGAAAUUCCUCUGUGCCCAACAGUUUCACAUCCCAUAAACAUCCUGUAAAAUAUUCUCAAAUUUUAAAAUGGAAAAUGUUCCACUGUGUAGUUAUUUAAAUUUAGAACUUGCAGAUCACCUACUCAGAAGUCUAGAAAUUCUAGAAGCUAGAAAUUCUAGCUCCUUUGAUUUUUCAUAUGAAUUUUAAAAUAAUCUUUAAAGUCUCCGGGGUUCUUCAUUCCUGUCUCAGUUGAUAUAAAUUCUCCAAGAAUGCCCUAGAGAUAGAGAACUUAUUUACAGUGGUUUGUACUAACUGAUGAAAGCACCUGUGAUUGUUUUUCCUUUUUUGCUCAAGGAUAUUGGGGAUUUCCUUUUACAUUCCAAGGUGGAGUUUUUCCCAGUGGAGAGAAGAGGUCUCUUGAAUGUUAUCGCAAGAAUCUAAGCAUAUACAUAACCUGUAACUCCUGCACAUAUCACAACUAUUUCUUUGAAUUGUAUAAGGAAGAUGAGCCAACUUCUUAUUUUGGAAUAUCUUUGGAAAGACAACUAGUGGGCAAGUUUAUGACCCAAAGGAAUCAUCAGUUAUGGUCUUGAUUCCUGGUAGGAAAAAACAGUGUUAUUUCCUUAUUACGAGGCAAAUAGAAAUGCUUAUUUUAUUUCUUAUAGUUUACAAAGCUAGAAUAAUUUUUUUCUUUUGAUUAUGGACCUAAAAUUUGCUCAUUGGAGUUUUGUGCAUGAAAUCAGAGUUACUUUUUAUAGAGAAUAAGUGCUGUAAAGGUUUAUUAAACCUUUACAGAGAAUAAGUCCCUAAAAUGUUUAAUUCCUUAAGUAAUGAUAUUGGCAGUAAGUCUUUGAAAGGCUGAGAACCCAAGUAGUGGUACCAUUGCACUUGGUGCUUCUGUAGGAGUGAGGGUGGUAGCUCAUUGUUGAGAGUUGCAUGCUGCAGCCUAAUGGUCAGCAAUGAAAUAAAUAUUUCUAGAAUGUUAAAAACUCAGAAGAGGCAGGUCACUAUCAGCCCCUCCCUUGAGGAUGUGCUUCCUGGCUGCCAUGAUGUAAGCAGUUUCUCCUCCUCCAGGCUCCUCUGCCAUGCUGUUUUUUUUUCGGAGCUGGCUGACCGUGGACUGAAACCUCUACAAAACAUGAACCAGAAUAAAUCUCUUCUCCUUUAAGUUGUGGGAGUUGGGUAAUGCGUCUCAGUGACAAGAAAAGUGAUGAAGACAUGAGCCCUCCCAGAAAUAGAGUGGAAACAUAGUCCAUUGUUUCAUUGGGAAGGCUGAGCACAGACUGUACAUCUAACUAGUUACUACUCCCAUUAACUGAACGUAGUAAUUUACUGCACAUGUGGGUUUCAGCAGUGUAUACCAGAGGGAACACAAGAAAAAUUUUUGAGAUGGAAGGCUAUGAAUCUGUCAGUGUGCCAGGAACUGUCUAUGACAGUUGUAGGUGGGCUGAGAUGGUCAGUCAGUAGCUCUUUCUAUCUCAGUCCACUCUUACUGACCUACCCAUGCUGUAACUUGAGUUUGUUCUAUAACUGAGGCUUCAGUGUGGUGAGGGCGACAACCAAAAAACAAUUUAAAUAGAUGAUUAGUGGAAUGGGCUGCAGCUCCCACUGUGAAGAUGACCUCUAAGCUUUAUUCAUAUUCAUCUUAAGCCUCCUCUUAAUACUUGAUGCACCUCAAUCCCAAGUAGCAAGUGCUUUGGCUUGGUGCUUGUUAUGGUUUAGAUCAAGAAUGCUCCCCCGCAAAUCCUCAUGCUCUCAUAGGCAGGGCUUUUGGAAGCUGAUUGAAUUAUGGGUGACAUAGCUGACUUGAUGUUAGAAGACAGGGUCUGGAAGAGGUGGGUCACUGGAGUGGUGACCAGGAAGGGCAUACUUCCUUCCCUGGCUACUUCCGACCUCGUUCUUCUUUCUCUGUCCCCUCCCCAGUGUCUCUUGCUUUUCUGAUCUGUACCAUGGUGAUUCAAGGUGUGUGUGUGUGUGUGUGUGUGUGUGUGUGUGUGUGUGUGUGAUUGCCCUUCCCAGUGGACCUAGUAAGGCAGAGAGGAAACGGCCCAUAAGGGAGAGGUGGGCAGGGGUCUCCAGGAUCACAGAGCCUUCAUUUCUAAGCUGACCUAUGGAAGGGCUGAGCCUGGCACUGGACACUGCAAUCCUCCCUUCUACUCCGAACUCUGCCAAUGCUGUAGGUGCUGGUCAGUUCCGCCCUCUGUCUUGCUCCAGUUUCCUGAUUGUCUCAGAGAGGACUGACCAUGAGACUCAGAGCCCUCACUUCCAAUCCCUCCCUCAUGCCUGAUGCUGGGACAGCACGAACCUCCCUCUCAUGAGUAGAUGUGGAGGACAUUCUCAGUGUGGCUGGGCUUCAUGUCCACUGUCUGAUGCACAAAUGCAGCCUGCCAGGACCCGAGACAGUAUAUAUGUGACCCCUGGCCUCUAGCACGUCUCACGCCAUGGGGUCAGCAUGGCCAGCCUCAUGUCCUCUGUCCCUGCACCAGCACUCAAGCCACUCAGCCCUGAGUACCCAUGCUCAGCCAUGCCUGGGGGACUUGGAAUCAUUGCUCUUCACUCACCCAGUGACAGCCAGGAGCCUAGUCCUGUGUUGGGAUCUCACCCAGGGGCCUCCUGAGUCCGGGCCUCCUGAGUCCAGCCCUCCUGGGCACCUUCAUCUCCCUGCUUUAUUCCUCAGCACACUCUCUCAAGGUGCAGUGGCGGAUCCAUUCCCAAUCAUGAAAGCAGAGCUGAGAGGUCAUCCCUGAGCCCAACUCUCACAGAGCCAUGUCAUGGCCCAGAGGUGGGCUUGAACCCAGAAGAGGUACUGAGGAUCAAAUCUAGGGCAAGCGUCUGCCAUGGAGCUACACCCUCAAUCGUGAAGAAAAUAUUAUGGAAGGGACUUGGUACCUGAAGGCCAUGGUAACCAGUAAGAAGAUGCCAGAGACCAUGAAGCCCAAGAAGUCGUACCCCGUGACUAUGACAGCACUGGAUAAUGGGAACUAUGAAGUUCAGCUUUCCUUCUUCUAUAAGGAUAAAUGCGAAGAGAAGACAAUUGAGAUGCAGAGAACCAAGGAUCCUAAAAAAUUCAAAACCACACAAAACAUAAUCGUAUCUGUACAGGAGAUGUCCGUGAAAGACCACUUCAUCUUCUACAUUGAGCACCAGGUGUUUGGCAUGCCCAUACGCAUUGCAAAGCUCCUGGGUGAGGAGCCCUUCCUGUAUCCUGCCCCAGCUUCCUGUCUCAGCUUUUAAAAGCCUUGUCCUGGCACUGGGGAACUAAGAAGGCUCCUAGGCUGGCUUCUGGGCACUUGGCCCAGCAUGCUGUUCUGGUAGAGAGUGAGUUCCGGACUGGGAAGGGGGUCGGCAAGGCAGGGAGUGUCAGGGACAUGCAGGCCCUCAAACACUGACCAUGCUGACAGGGGGACCUGCUCACUGCAGCUGCCGAGCACUGCUUCCUGGGGUCUCUGGCACGGACAGGGUCACCUUGGCACCUUGUCCAUUCUCAGAGUGAAGCCCCUGGUGUGGGGUGGUAGCCAUGUCCUCAGGGCCAUCAGCUCCCUGCAGAGCUGAGCAGCCGCCCCCCCUCUACUCCCUGGC
Non-coding RNA from Heterocephalus glaber (naked mole-rat), 15034 nucleotides. The record is from RefSeq and is a predicted model, not a curated record. Lineage: Eukaryota; Metazoa; Chordata; Mammalia; Rodentia; Bathyergidae.